GAGGGUCUAGCUCAGUGGUAGAGUGCCUGCUUAGCAUGCACAAGGUCCUGGGUUUAAUUCCCAGUACCCCA
Camelus ferus (Wild Bactrian camel) is the source of this 71-nucleotide transfer RNA. It matches the Rfam family "tRNA". Rfam says of the family: Transfer RNA (tRNA) molecules are approximately 80 nucleotides in length. Their secondary structure includes four short double-helical elements and three loops (D, anti-codon, and T loops). Further hydrogen bonds mediate the characteristic L-shaped molecular structure. tRNAs have two regions of fundamental functional importance: the anti-codon, which is responsible for specific mRNA codon recognition, and the 3' end, to which the tRNAs corresponding amino acid is attached (by aminoacyl-tRNA synthetases). tRNAs cope with the degeneracy of the genetic code in two manners: having more than one tRNA (with a specific anti-codon) for a particular amino acid; and 'wobble' base-pairing, i.e. permitting non-standard base-pairing at the 3rd anti-codon position. The record is from Rfam. Lineage: Eukaryota; Metazoa; Chordata; Mammalia; Artiodactyla; Camelidae.